Molecule: non-coding RNA, 72 nt
Organism: Ameiurus melas (black bullhead)
Lineage: Eukaryota; Metazoa; Chordata; Actinopteri; Siluriformes; Ictaluridae
Source: the annotation of a GenBank genome assembly
UACCAAAUAGCAAACUGGUAAGGUGUUGGUCUUGCAAACCAAAGCUCAUGGGUUCAAACCCUGUCUGUGCAU